GGCGUGCCUAAUACAUGCAAGUCGAGCGAAUUGAUGGGAGCUUGCUCCCUGAUAUUAGCGGCGGACGGGUGAGUAACACGUGGGUAACCUGCCUGUAAGAUUGGGAUAACUCCGGGAAACCGGAGCUAAUACCGGAUAACAUGUUGAACUGCAUGGUUCAACAUUGAAAGAUGGCUUUUAGCUAUCACUUACAGAUGGACCCGCGGCGCAUUAGCUAGUUGGUGAGGUAACGGCUCACCAAGGCGACGAUGCGUAGCCGACCUGAGAGGGUGAUCGGCCACACUGGGACUGAGACACGGCCCAGACUCCUACGGGAGGCAGCAGUAGGGAAUCUUCCGCAAUGGACGAAAGUCUGACGGAGCAACGCCGCGUGAACGAUGAAGGCCUUCGGGUCGUAAAGUUCUGUUGUUAGGGAAGAACAAGUACCAGAGUAACUGCUGGUACCUUGACGGUACCUAACCAGAAAGCCACGGCUAACUACGUGCCAGCAGCCGCGGUAAUACGUAGGUGGCAAGCGUUGUCCGGAAUUAUUGGGCGUAAAGCGCGCGCAGGUGGUUUCUUAAGUCUGAUGUGAAAGCCCACGGCUCAACCGUGGAGGGUC
Molecule: ribosomal RNA, 601 nt
Filed under: Bacillus sp. YIM C436
Lineage: Bacteria; Bacillati; Bacillota; Bacilli; Caryophanales; Bacillaceae
Description: bacterial SSU rRNA
Rfam family: Bacterial small subunit ribosomal RNA
Source: RNAcentral